AUUCCUUUAGUAUAAAAAGUAUAUUUAACUUCCAAUUAAAAGGUUUAAAAUUUAAAAGGAAUA
RNAcentral lists this transfer RNA (63 nucleotides) under Triatoma huehuetenanguensis. RNAcentral describes it as "tRNA-Gly". The record is from RNAcentral. Lineage: Eukaryota; Metazoa; Arthropoda; Insecta; Hemiptera; Reduviidae. RNAcentral also lists the same sequence under 2 other names.